CUGAACUGCUUAAAGUGGCAUGUUGUAGGGGAGUGACAGCUGUGAGGGCACACCUGGAGCAGGUUAGAGCAGAGCUUUGAUCCACUGCCGCUCCUGCACCACCCACACACAUACGCAGAGCUGGUAAAGUCACGUGAAAAGUCAAAGCCACAGCUUUGGAUAUUUUGUGUUAAACUACAAACGUAAAAACUUGUCGUGCGGUUUUGGCUGUUCGUUUACACGACAACGGCGGGUUUGGGGCCUGAAAACGCCAACUUUUAAAAACGGGUUUCAGAGUGCAAGAUUUUGAGAACGAUGCCGUUACCGUCUCCGGGUAAAGGAUGACGUCAUGCGUACGUGUGUUCAGUCUAUAGGGAGGCGUGAGAGUACUUCAAAAACAACACGCGAGACUUUCAAAACAGGACUGUGUUUGUGCUUCUCAAGAUUUUGAGUUUAUUGACGCUUCUCCAGCAAAGUGUAGAUUUACUGCAUCACUACUACAACCGACAAAGUGUAGAUUUACUGCAUCACUACAACAACCGACAAAGUGUAGAUUGACUGCAUCACUACUACAACCGACAAAGUGUAGAUUUACUGCAUCACUACUACAACCGACAAAGUGUAGAUUUACUGCAUCACUACUACAACCGACAAAGUGUAGAUUUACUGCAUCACUACUACAACCAACAAAGUGUAGAUUUACUGCAUCACUACUACAACCAAAGUGUAGAUUUACUGCAUCACUACUACAACCGACAAAGUUUAGAUUUACUGCAUCACUACAACAACAACCAGCAAAGUGUAGAUUUACUGCAUCACUACAACAACAACCAGCAAAGUGUAGAUUUACUGCAUCACUACUACAACCGACAAAGUGUAGAUUUACUGCAUCACUACUACAACCGACAAAGUGUAGAUUUACUGCAUCACUACUACAACCGACAAAGUGUAGAUUUACUGCAUCACUACUACAACCGACAAAGUGUAGAUUUACUGCAUCACUACUACAACCGACAAAGUGUAGAUUUACUGCAUCACUACUACAACCGACAAAGUGUAGAUUUACUGCAUCACUACUACAACCAAAGUGUAGAUUUACUGCAUCACUACUACAACCGACAAAGUGUAGAUUUACUGCAUCACUACUACAACCGACAAAGUUUAGAUUUACUGCAUCACUACAACAACAACCAGCAAAGUGUAGAUUUACUGCAUCACUACUACAACCGACAAAGUGUAGAUUUACUGCAUCACUACUACAACCAAAGUGUAGAUUUACUGCAUCACUACUACAACCGACAAAGUGUAGAUUUACUGCAUCACUACUACAACCGACAAAGUGUAGAUUUACUGCAUCACUACUACAACCGACAAAGUGUAGAUUUACUGCAUCACUACUACAACCGACAAAGUGUAGAUUUACUGCAUCACUACUACAACCAAAGUCAAAGUGUAGAUUUACUGCAUCACUACUACAACCAACAAAGUGUAGAUUUACUGCAUCACUACUACAACCAACAAAGUGUAGAUUUACUGCAUCACUACUACAACCGACAAAGUGUAGAUUUACUGCAUCACUACUACAACCAACAAAGUGUAGAUUUACUGCAUCACUACUACAACCGGCGGAGACGCAUUUGUUCCAUACGCCACAUUAUUAACCCCCGUCUACACCGACGAGGGGCAUUCAAAAUCUUAUCAUCAUCUUUGUAAUUGUCUGUUUUAGAGUAUAGCUGUAUCCUUUUACUGCUAAUAAAAUAUAGAAAGCAGACUGAUUGCCAGUGUCUCACUAUUUGAUUUGUAUUUGCCAAUUUUGUUCCAUUUUGGUCCCGUGAUGAACUAUUAGUAUGUACAAAUGCACUAUUUAGAUGUUUUUUGUCCUUCAGUAUUUAAAAACGAACAAGCUCUGUGAACAGAAUGCUGACCUGGAGCACGAGAAACGCUCAAAGAUGGGGUUGAAGACAGAAAAAUCCAUUUUCGCAAUCAAAAAAACCUUUAUGUACAUUAAAUUAUAUUCCAUUAGAGACGUAAAGAAAAAUAAGACAAAUCCAUGCUUGACAAGCGUGAGUUUUCACCAUUCCUUAUGACAAUGAAUAGCCUAACUAUCGAGAUUCUAAGUAACUGGAGACGGAACGUUUUUGUACUCCACGUAGAUCAUAAACUAUUGAAAUCCUUUGAGAAAUGUAAACGUUAUUGCGCUUUUUUAUCCAGAAAACCCACAGCUCCCAUGUUUACUUCUAUUUGUUUAUAGGGCAGUCUCGCCCGGAUUAAUAUGGCAGACAUGUUGAAGUGAAUGCUUAUGUGCGCAGGCGCGUAGUCUUUCUUUACAAAGUGACAUCGCCAACUACUGGCCUGGCAUGCGUAACACAGCGUUUUUAGUCGUAUUCGCGGAUCCGUGUGAACGGGGAUUGUUUCGACAGCGUUGUCGUCUGUACGUGAAACGUUUCAAACACGAAUAAAGGAAAACCGUUUUUAGUACGUCGUUGUCGUGUAAACAUUCCCCAAGAUUACACAUGACCGCUUACCAGAAAUCUUUUUCACACAAUCAGCCUAAGCCAAGCCAGAUAGCUAACUAAUUAAUGAUGAAAAAGUUUAGAUUGUUGUGGAACAUCCUGUUAAAUAAAUUGCUGUAAAGAUGACGAAUAUACACUGAAAUCCCUACACAGAUUUCCCAGCUAUUUAUGAAGGCGGGAGGUGCUUCCAACCUCUAAGACUCUGGCAAACCCUUUAUUAAAAAAAAAAAAAGAGUAAACUUUUAAAUCGACAUUAAAACCAUAAAUAAUUCUAAUUGGUUUACAAGCUCAUGGGGAAAGGAAACUCAUACCUAAGCUGAUGCCAGAGGGUGCGAGUAUUCAAGCAGACAACUUUGCAGGUGUUCAAGCAGGAACAUGUGCAGAUGCACUUUUGUGGUUGAAUGGGGGGAAAGAAAGAAAAAAGAAGAAGAAGAAAAAAGGAAAGCAUAAAAUAGGAGCUAUCAUUUAUAUACGCAGUGCAGUCUGUAAUUAACUGGACAAUGAUUUUGUAUUUCAGAUUUGAAAUAGAAUGAUGACUAUGGAGUCCUGUUCAAUUAAAGAGUAUUCACAAGGUGAGGAGUAAAACAUGACAGGGCCUGCUGUUAUAGGAAAUUAAAAGUACAACAAAUGAAACUUAAUAAUGGCACAGUGUUUGCGUGAUCCAUUCUGGCCUUUGGAGGAGUUUAACAAAACAAAAGCUGUGCAUUAGGACGUAACAAAAACAAACAAGG
Ictalurus punctatus (channel catfish) is the source of this 3223-nucleotide long non-coding RNA. The record is from Ensembl. Lineage: Eukaryota; Metazoa; Chordata; Actinopteri; Siluriformes; Ictaluridae.